This 212-nucleotide unclassified non-coding RNA is filed under the name Hevea brasiliensis (rubber tree). Lineage: Eukaryota; Viridiplantae; Streptophyta; Magnoliopsida; Malpighiales; Euphorbiaceae. The record is from RNAcentral.
UCCGUGUGUGCCAAUAUGUGCCAAUAUUGGCAUUAUUGACAAAAGUUCGCGGCGCGAAUCACGAAGUGAGUUUUUGCCACGAACGCACCCAAUACACUCCAAUAUGUCCAAAAAUCAUGUUUUGGUGCUUUUUGAACUUUUUCAUUCCGGUCAAAAACAUCGCACCCGUGUGGGCCAAUAUUGGCAUGAAUUAACAAAUGUUCGCCGCGCGA